Lathyrus oleraceus (garden pea) is the source of this 595-nucleotide long non-coding RNA. RefSeq lists it as uncharacterized. Lineage: Eukaryota; Viridiplantae; Streptophyta; Magnoliopsida; Fabales; Fabaceae. The record is from RefSeq and is a predicted model, not a curated record. The transcript is spliced from 4 exons.
UCUGUAGGUUCACAAAGAAUUUUUACUCGCCGUGGGGCUCCCUAUAUAGUGAAGGAUGAUGGUGCAGUCAUUUUGAGUGAAGGGAAACUUUCAAAGAAAGGUGUUGUUGGACCUAGUACUCAUGAGAAACAAGUUUGGGUUCAGAAAUCAUCUUCAGGGUCUUAAAAUAGUUGUGAUAAUGGAUACUCAGUCAGCGCAACAAUUCCCUGAAAAAUUGAGGGGAUUAUUCCUGCUACAUUGAGCUAGGGAUCCGUUUAGGAUAUAUCAUCCUCAACCAAUUCAGGUCAACAUGAGCCUAAGCGCCUUGUAAGAAAGAUGAUCCAGUUGUUGCCUGACGGAGCUUGCAUAAUUGAAGGAAUGCAAAAUCACAGAUCUCCUUGACAUGAUUAUUUACCGAAAAAAGACCGACAUUGUUAACCAUGUUGAUGGGUUAGACCCUUGAAUGGUUUGUCUUUCUUAAUUGUUGAAUAUUUUGGUUUUGGCAAAUGUUUGUGUGUUUAACUGUAUAGUCUUGGUAUUUGCCAUGGGAUGGUAUGCUGGGAAGAGUGAAUCAUUUAGUCCAUUUCAUUGGACAUAUAUAUAGUUGAAUUGUGUA